RNAcentral lists this ribosomal RNA (238 nucleotides) under uncultured bacterium. RNAcentral describes it as "partial 16S ribosomal RNA". It matches the Rfam family "Bacterial small subunit ribosomal RNA", at positions 103 to 334 of the family's 1533-position model. The record is from RNAcentral.
CGGGUGAGUAAUACUUGGGCAAUCUGCCCUUGAGUGGGGGACAACCUGCCGAAAGGCGGGCUAAUACCCCAUAAGACCACGGGAAUGCAUAUUCCAGAGGUCAAAGCUCCGCAAGGGGCGCUUGAGGAGGAGCCCGAGUCCUAUCAUGGUAGUUGGCGGGGUAAUGGCCCACCAAGCCGUUGACGGGUAGCCGACCUGAAAGGGUAACCGGCCACACUGGCACUGAGACACGGGCCAG